This 5155-nucleotide long non-coding RNA is filed under the name Sus scrofa (pig). RNAcentral's name for it is "lncRNA (ENSSSCG00025041985.1)". The record is from RNAcentral. Lineage: Eukaryota; Metazoa; Chordata; Mammalia; Artiodactyla; Suidae.
GAUAAAAGUCGUGCGUCCCAUGGCAAACAGUCAAGAGCAAUGUCUCUGGACCCAGCAACUGUCCCUAUGAUGUAGUGUCAGUGCCCACACCACGGGGAGUGUCUAAUCACGACGCUUAGAUUCAGUCGAGCAAGCGCAGUACACGUGCGAUGAGGUGUUGUGGACAGCAUGAGAAACCCACUGUUUCCACUCAGAAACCCAUCAUCCUAGUGCCCAUUCAGCACUUCAACAGUUACUGUCAUUGUAUAACCCUCAACAGACCCAUAGUUUAAAAUCACUUGGCCUCGCGAACAUAAAGCACAUGAACUGAGAGUCCAUGGCCUUAGUCUCUGGUCUCUCCUGAUGGCCAGUAGUUACGGUAAAAUGUUACCAGUGGAAUAUUCUAGCUUCAGUUACUACCAAACUGCCAGACUCCUCAGAGACAUGCUUAACUUGGAGGUAAAUAAGUUUUUUCCAUUUACCUCGGAUUUUCAUAUAAAUGUGUUUAUUAUUAUUAUUAUUACGCUUUUUAGGGCUGCACCAGCGGCAUACAGAAGUUCCCAGGCUAGGGGCUGAAUCAGAGCUGCAGCUGCCAGCCUGUGCCACAGCCACAGCAAUGCCAGAUCCGAGCCGUGGCAACCGCAGCUCACAGCAACGCCAGAUCCCCAACCCGCUAGGCGAGGCCAGGGACCAAACCCGCAUCCUUGAAGUUACCACGCGGGUUCGUUUCUGCACACCACAACAGGACAUCCCAAACGUACUUACUUCAAAGUUACAAUUAAAAACAAAUCUUGGUAAAUCAAGAAGAGACCACUAAAAUGCUAUGAGAAGGACUACAAUCCGCAACACCGGCAACACCAAAUGCUGCCAAGGUGGUGCAGCCACAGGACCCUCACUCGCAGCUGGAAGGAAGGCAACAUGGCUCAGCCAUUUCCAGAGACAGUGAGGUACUUCCGAAGACAGAGGUGAACAUAUUCUCGGCGUAGCAUCCAGCCACUGUGAAUCUUAGGGCCGCGAGUCCACUCGCUGCAGCACCACGGGGGGGACACCUGUCCAAAUGCACAGCAUGUACAACACCGACAGUCAACCCCAAUGACUGUAACAAGGGCACCCCCUGGCGGGGGGUGUCCAAAGUGAGGGAGGCGCUGCUCGGGGGCAGGGACAGGGAGCAGAUGGGAAAUCUCUGUACCCUCCACUCAAUCUUUUUGGGACUUAAAAUUGCUCCAAAAAAACAAAGUCUAGUUUUUAAAAACAAACAAAUAAAGAUCUUGGAAAGGAACAAAUUCCGAAUGACACUGAAAGAAAACCUGCUAACCGUGCAAAAGGCGGGCCUUCUGUGUGGAUGUGCACAGUUACAGGGGCACCCAGCCCCCUUCCCGGAGCACGAGUACCUUCACGGUCCCCAGCCCCACGGCUCCAGCCCGAGCAGGGGCUGCCAGCUGCUUCAGGCCAAGGAGAAGGGUACACAGGGAAUGCUCCCAGCCUCAGCCUCUGACACCCGCCCCCCGCGCCAGCUCCCCACAGAACCAUUCCUGACCGAGUCUCCUUCCAGAGGGUGUUACCGAUGACAUCAUCACUGUGCACGUACGUAUUGACGUGUCCGUGGCCGUGCCCUUGACAUCAGUUCCCGGGCCGAGGACUGAACCUGAACCACAGCAGUAACAAUGCCAGAUCCUUAACCACAAGGCCACCAGGGAACUCCAGGAAUUUCUGAUAAUUAGAAAUGUUUACUGAUUUUGACUCUUUUGACAUAAUCAUUUGAAAUUAUAAAAAUAAUCCAUGGUUACCAAAAAAUCAAAAGAAGGAAAAUCAACGAGAGACCGAUCCAAGGUAAAACACAGCUCUCUGUCCAUUACGUCCUGCCCAACCCCACCCCGAGACGUCAGGCCUGGUGAAAACGCCUUCCUAGAUCUUUUCCUGUGUGCACACAGGGGCAUGUUCUGAAAAUGAUUCUUAAUUAAAAACAACGCAGAUCCAUGAAACAUCUCUACUUUGCAGGACGUCAUGUCCGAGGGCCCUGACCCCCCUGGGUCCAGCCACGGAAUGAGACACCUGCUCCACCUGAUGGCGGAGACUGGGGUGGGGGCAGAGCAGCGAAAGAGGAAAUGAGAAGCCUCUCUAAGGACAGGCCCACAGCCCUCAGAGCCAGCUGUCACCCUGCGGUGGACAUGAGCCUCUCAUUCCACUGACAGGCCUUCCUCCGGCUAUAGGAUCUGGUCGGUAAUUACAGGAAAGGCCUCGCCAUCAAGAUGGGGGAGGAGCUAAUUGACCAAAAGUUCAAUGUGCUGACUCAGGGACCGAUGGCCAAGCCUUCGAUUUCUUUUCCUCAAAAAGCCACUGACGUACAGUCCAUUAGGCCGCGGCCAUGCGGGCCCAGGAGACAGAGAGCUUCCGGUCAAAGCACCUGUGUGAGGCUUCACCAAACAUGCUCGGCCUCUGCAUCAGAAGGGGCCUCGCAGCGCUGCCGACCAGGGCAUUUUCAGGAGGCACCAAGCGAUGGGUUGCUGGUUCUAUGUCCUUUUGCGUGCUUGAUGCUUUGUGUCUGGUUCAGGUUUAUUUACUGACCCAUCCCAAGUGCACGAGCCAACAUCCCUUUGAGGUCCAGCCCUCCUCUAAGGCUCUGUGUCCCAAGUCUGUUAUCUUCUGCUCGUCAGAGUCCAGAACCCCUGCCCUGCUCAGGAAGGACACGUCUCGGGCACUCCGUCCAAAUGGGGGGAAACGUUGGGACGGUCCCGCAUCAAAUGCGGUGGGAAGAACACAGACUACGGAGGGCCAGAGACUCUGGCAGCCGAUGCUCCCGGCCAGGGUGCUUCUCCAUGUCUCGCUUUUCUCACAUCUCAAGAGAGAACAGAACGAGGCAGAGGCAUCGCAGUAUGUAAAGCACGUGGAACGCCGUGUAUGAUCAACCGAUACACAUAUAAGUACAGAGCAAGCGCUAAGCAGGUAUUAGCUAUACUCAUUACAUUGUUUUUGUGGUCAUGUCAUUAAGCAGAGCUUAGGAGAUGAAUGAUACUCUUUAAAUACGCUCAUACCCUAGGAGCCUAGGGCGACCAAAUGUAACUGCUCUUCUCUGCUGUGAAAGGGAGUAACAGACAUACAUGAAUCAUCCAUACAAGUAAACACAGGUUUCUGCAACUUUGUGUGUAUAAAUCAAAUCAUACCUAUCAACUGGGUAACUGCCACUGCAAUGCAUCUUGCAGUGAAUCCUCUCUGUCCCAGGGAAGCUUCUAGACCAGAAUGAUGCUAAGCACCUGUCUUAACAUACACAUUAUUUUAUUUAUUUAUUUAUUUAUUUAUUUAUUUAUUCAUUCAUAUUUCUUUUUAGGGCUCCCCCUGCGGCAUACGGAAGUGUCCAGGCUAGGUGUCAAGUCAAGGGGCAGCUGCCGGCCUACACCACAGCCCCAGCAACGUGGGAUCCGAACCACGCCUUCAACCUACACCACAGCUCAUGACAAUGCCAGAUCCUCAACCCAAUGAGCAAAGCUAGGGAUCGAACCUGCAUCCUCAUGGAUACUAGCUGGGUUUGUAACCUGCUGAGCUACAACAGGAACUCCAACAUACAAAUUCUUAACGUAGCACCUUUUCUUAUGCAGCUCCAGCAGACGGAACUCGGAAACAUUUAUUAUUCCUUUAGGGAACUGGCUCUAAGUGCUUCCAGCCUUCUCCCAGGAGGAGGGCCCAGCUCUGACAGCAGCACAUUACUAGGCAUAAGAUUCCCAAAGGUGUGACUGCCACACAGGAAGCCAGUAUGCCCUCUGCAGGAGGAACUAUGACGCUUUUAUCAAAACAGCACUUUCCUAGGAUGGCAGAAAAAGAGUAUCGCCUGCACCAACCCCAGACGAUGAGUAAUGGCUCCUUGGAGCAGUGUGUGCUGAGCAUGGUUCUGAUUGAUUAGUGAUGCCUGCCAUGGUCACAGGACUAGGGAAUAGAUGCAUGCACGCUGAGUACUCACCAUUCCCAUACCUAACGGUGCACAGGUACUCUGUGUCAGGGAUACACUGAGGGAUAAGGCUCCUGGUAAUUUGUCCAAAAAAACUAUAAAUUAAGCAGGGAAAAAACCCACAUUUGGAUAUGAGGAUGCAUAUUCUCUCAGAAUUAUAACUCUAAGCUGCUACAAAUUAUCCAAGACACAGCACAACCAUAAAACGUCCCUUAGCCAAAAAUAAAGAAAAUUUCAACACAAAUCCAGUCGCACUUGGGAGACAAGAGCAAUACGGAUUCUGUGAACACCUCCUAGUGGCAGGCCCUGGGCUCUGUCCUCAAGGUCAGAGCUCAACGCUUGUUCACUGUCGUGGUUCUAGAUGUAAAAAUGCUCUGACACACACACAAUCAACUGAUACGGACUGGAUGUUGACCACAUGUGAGUUAAUACAUGGUCAGGUGGGCUGUAUGAUGACAAAAGUGAGGCUAGGAAGUCACAGGAAUGGGCUUGUUGCUAAAGAGUCGCCUGGGGGGGGUCCUCCAGGGGACCAUGCUGUGAGUCAAAUGGCCCCUCACCAGAGCAAGUAAACAAUUCAUUGUGAAAGCACACACACCUUUCUGACUGGGUGGCUGAUGACACAGACCUCCCUCCAUCCCUACCGGCCUUUGUUUCAAGCCCCACCCCCCACCCCGGCUCCCCAUCAGCUGUACACACAUCACUGUCACCUGAUGGAACCAUCUGCUUCCCUCCCGGUGGAAAUGCCACUUCUGGGUGUUCAUCAACUGUUACCUGAAAGCAGCCGGCCAGGGAUCUUCGAGGGAGAUGCCAGGUCUCGGAGAUCUAGAGAACCAGGGCAAGUGUACUCCCGCCCCCUACUGGCCACACUUGGAGAGGCGCCACCCACAGGGCUUGGGGCAUUUCAGUUGGGGGGAGGGAGCCAGGCGAACACACUGGUCAGCCGCACAGUGGUAACUAAGGGUGGAGAGGAAUGAGAUGGAGGUGCAAUGGUCGGGGGGACGCUUGGGUCUCCAGAGGCAUCUGUUCCCAGCCAUUUCCCACCCUCGCCCCCCCAAUCCUCAAAUCCCCAAAUGACUGUUAUUUGAAACAGCUUCAUAGACUCAAGUUUUCUCCAGGGGUUUCAAAUGCAGCUCUUAUCUUCCAGCUGCAAAUAAAGAAAGUCCAGGUGUGAGUCAGCAAUUCCCAUUUUGAUUGGAUUUUGCAAUCACCCCACCCACAUCAAAUGCACCCUCUCAU